CUAGCCAUGCGAGUCAUAUGUAGCAAUACAUGGCGUACUGCUCAGUAACACGUGGAUAACCUGCCCUUGGGUCCGGCAUAACCCCGGGAAACUGGGGAUAAUUCCGGAUAACGCACAUAUGCUGGAAUGCUUUAUGCGUCAAAUGGAUUCGUCUGCCCAAGGAUGGGUCUGCGGCCUAUCAGGUAGUAGUGGGUGUAAUGUACCUACUAGCCGACGACGGGUACGGGUUGUGAGAGCAAGAGCCCGGAGAUGGAUUCUGAGACAUGAAUCCAGGCCCUACGGGGCGCAGCAGGCGCGAAAACUUUACAAUGCGGGAAACCGUGAUAAGGGGACACCGAGUGCCAGCAUCAUAUGCUGGCUGUCCAGGUGUGUAAAAUACACCUGUUAGCAAGGGCCGGGCAAGACCGGUGCCAGCCGCCGCGGUAACACCGGCGGCCCGAGUGGUGAUCGUGAUUAUUGGGUCUAAAGGGUCCGUAGCCGGUUUGGUCAGUCCUCCGGGAAAUCUGAUAGCUCAACUAUUAGGCUUUCGGGGGAUACUGCCAGACUUGGAACCGGGAGAGGUAAGAGGUACUACAGGGGUAGGAGUGAAAUCUUGUAAUCCCUGUGGGACCACCUGUGGCGAAGGCGUCUUACCAGAACGGGUUCGACGGUGAGGGACGAAAGCUG
Molecule: ribosomal RNA, 666 nt
Filed under: uncultured archaeon
Lineage: Archaea
Description: bacterial SSU rRNA
Rfam family: Archaeal small subunit ribosomal RNA
Source: RNAcentral